CCAAGGUCGAGGUGAUUGAA
Molecule: microRNA, 20 nt
Filed under: Ciona intestinalis (vase tunicate)
Lineage: Eukaryota; Metazoa; Chordata; Ascidiacea; Phlebobranchia; Cionidae
Description: cin-miR-4051-3p
Source: miRBase by way of RNAcentral